This 696-nucleotide ribosomal RNA is filed under the name uncultured bacterium. RNAcentral's name for it is "bacterial SSU rRNA". It matches the Rfam family "Bacterial small subunit ribosomal RNA", at positions 32 to 715 of the family's 1533-position model. The record is from RNAcentral.
AACGCUAGCUACAGGCUUAACACAUGCAAGUCGAGGGGAAACGAUAGAGAAAGCUUGCUUUUUCUAGGCGUCGACCGGCGCACGGGUGAGUAACGCGUAUCCAACCUGCCCAUCACUUGGGGAUAACCUUGCGAAAGUAAGACUAAUACCCAAUGAUAUCUCUAGAAGACAUCUGAAGGAGAUUAAAGAUUUAUCGGUGAUGGAUGGGGAUGCGUCUGAUUAGCUUGUUGGCGGGGUAACGGCCCACCAAGGCGACGAUCAGUAGGGGUUCUGAGAGGAAGGUCCCCCACAUUGGAACUGAGACACGGUCCAAACUCCUACGGGAGGCAGCAGUGAGGAAUAUUGGUCAAUGGGCGAGAGCCUGAACCAGCCAAGUAGCGUGCAGGAUGACGGCCCUAUGGGUUGUAAACUGCUUUUAUAAGGGAAUAAAGUGGGAGUCGUGACUCCUUUUGCAUGUACCUUAUGAAUAAGGACCGGCUAAUUCCGUGCCAGCAGCCGCGGUAAUACGGAAGGUCCGGGCGUUAUCCGGAUUUAUUGGGUUUAAAGGGAGCGUAGGCCGGAGAUUAAGCGUGUUGUGAAAUGUAGACGCUCAACGUCUGCACUGCAGCGCGAGCUGGUUUCCUUGAGUACGCACAAAGUGGGCGGAAUUCGUGGUGUAGCGGUGAAAUGCUUAGAUAUCACGAAGAACUCCGAUUG